Molecule: ribosomal RNA, 253 nt
Filed under: uncultured bacterium
Lineage: Bacteria
Description: partial 16S ribosomal RNA
Rfam family: Bacterial small subunit ribosomal RNA
Source: RNAcentral
UACGUAGGUGGCAAGCGUUGUCCGGAUUUAUUGGGCUUAAAGGGUGCGUAGGCGGUUCCAUAAGUCAGUGGUGAAAUACCAUAGCUUAACUAUUGAGGUGCCAUUGAUACUGCGGAACUUGAGUACAGACGAGGUAGGCGGAAUUGACGGUGUAGCGGUGAAAUGCGUAGAGAUCGUGAAGAACACCGAUAGCGAAGGCAGCUUACUGGACUGUAACUGACGCUGAUGCGCGAAAGUGUGGGGAUCAAACAGG